UACAGAGGGUGCGAGCGUUUGUUCGGAAUUAUUGGCGUAAGGGCGCGUAGGCGGUGCGGUAAGUCACCUGUGAAAUCUCCUGGCUCAACUGAGAGCUUGCAGGCGAAACUGCCGUGCUGGAGUGUGGGAGAGGUGCGUGGAAUUCCUGGUGUAGCGGUGAAAUGCGUAGAUAUCAGGAGGAACACCUGUGGCGAAAGCGGCGCACUGGACCACAACUGACGCUGAGGCGCGAAAGCGUGGGGAGCAAACAGG
This 252-nucleotide ribosomal RNA is filed under the name uncultured bacterium. RNAcentral describes it as "partial 16S ribosomal RNA". It matches the Rfam family "Bacterial small subunit ribosomal RNA", at positions 524 to 776 of the family's 1533-position model. The record is from RNAcentral.